This is a long non-coding RNA of Scatophagus argus, 1051 nucleotides long. RefSeq lists it as uncharacterized. Lineage: Eukaryota; Metazoa; Chordata; Actinopteri; Scatophagidae. The transcript has 3 exons. The record is from RefSeq and is a predicted model, not a curated record.
CCACUACCAAACAUAGGGAAAUAUACCCCUCUCCUAACAUCAAACAUUACAACAAUUUACAAACAGAAUUAAAAUACAUAUCCCCUACAUUUGUCUCCCACAGCCGGCAUGCUCUCAAUUUAUAUCCUACUAUACAAUAAUGUGACAGAAACCUGGAAAGAAAACAUACAAUACAUUUUCACCCCCUUUCCUAUUAACAAUAUGGUAUCUCCCAGAACCUUAAAAAGGCGUUCAGUUUUCCCAGGGAUUCUUUUUGCGUGAACACCUUGGAACAAAGACCACAGGCCAGGACUCAAUUCCACUUCAACUGAGAAGCACCUCCCACAUCACCAAACCAAACAUUUUCAAUACCCUCAAAAAGAGAGGAAAUGCUAGGAAAAUCAGUAUUGAAAGAGGACCUUCAUUACACUUUGAAAUAAUAAAAAAGUGUAUUUUUUGGCACAAUGAAGAUCAUCGCUAUGCUGACGCGUACGACUCCGCUGAAUAAUUUCCAGUGAGAAAAAUGAACAUUUAGAGUCUGGUUACUCAGAGCGCCAGCAGAGAGCUUCACCACCUGGUGCAGCGACAAUCGCCUGAGGCUCAGUAUCAUCAGAACCAAUGAGCUCGUGUUGGACUACUGCUGUAGUGUAGCGGAUGAGAUUUAGUGGACGUUCCUCUUAAAACCAAUGUUAUCCCAAAGAGGCUUCGGUGCACCAGCUCACGUGGGACAUAAAACCCCCCUCUGGCUCUGUAAUAACGUGUGGACCCAUCAGCCCACAGCAAUCUACAGCCUACGCCUGUAGGUGGUUUUCCUCCCUGCUGUAGUGUGUUGCUAACUGUGUACACUUAUAAGCAUUUAUAAUCUCCAGGCUGAAGUAAGUUUCUUAAAACAAAAAGGUUAACACAUAUCAUCAUCUCUGCAUUACUGAGCAGCCUCAGUCUCUCAAGAUCUCCACCAAGCGCAGUCAGCCGGAGCACCUCUUUAUUUCUUUGUGCGUUUCAUCAGCUUGCAUUGUUGUAGUCUUUUAUUAUUCUCUAUUUUAAUAAAGCACUCAUUUGAGAAGUAAUCCAU